RNAcentral lists this long non-coding RNA (233 nucleotides) under Physcomitrium patens. RNAcentral describes it as "long non-coding RNA (PPAT_LNC000213)". The record is from RNAcentral. Lineage: Eukaryota; Viridiplantae; Streptophyta; Bryopsida; Funariales; Funariaceae.
UUAGGUUUUAUGCUAUGGUUUUGGUGAAAAUUUUGUAUGAUUUGGAGUUUAUAUAAAAGAGAUAUAGGCGCUCAAAGUUAAGGUAGUGAUUUUGUAUCUAUUAUCAUUCUUUUGGACAUAACGCAUGCAUACAAAAAACAAUAAAAUGUCGGUAAUUGGAAUUAGAGAGAGCACUCUAUUAACUAUACUUUUGAUAUAUUAUUCAAUGAAUUUUAAGUUAAAAUAAAGGAGAU